RNAcentral lists this ribosomal RNA (477 nucleotides) under Neisseria pharyngis. RNAcentral describes it as "bacterial SSU rRNA". It matches the Rfam family "Bacterial small subunit ribosomal RNA", at positions 30 to 495 of the family's 1533-position model. Lineage: Bacteria; Pseudomonadati; Pseudomonadota; Betaproteobacteria; Neisseriales; Neisseriaceae. The record is from RNAcentral.
AUUGAACGCUGGCGGCAUGCUUUACACAUGCAAGUCGGACGGCAGCACAGAGAAGCUUGCUUCUUGGGUGGCGAGUGGCGAACGGGUGAGUAACAUAUCGGAACGUACCGAGCAGUGGGGGAUAACUAAUCGAAAGAUUAGCUAAUACCGCAUAUUUUCUGAGGAAGAAAGCAGGGGACCAUUUGGCCUUGCGCUGUUUGAGCGGCCGAUAUCUGAUUAGCUAGUUGGUGGGGUAAAGGCCUACCAAGGCGACGAUCAGUAGCGGGUCUGAGAGGAUGAUCCGCCACACUGGGACUGAGACACGGCCCAGACUCCUACGGGAGGCAGCAGUGGGGAAUUUUGGACAAUGGGCGCAAGCCUGAUCCAGCCAUGCCGCGUGUCUGAAGAAGGCCUUCGGGUUGUAAAGGACUUUUGUCAGGGAAGAAAAGGAUAGGGUUAAUACCCCUGUCUGAUGACGUACCUGAAGAAUAAGCACCG